This 321-nucleotide ribosomal RNA is filed under the name uncultured bacterium. RNAcentral's name for it is "bacterial SSU rRNA". It matches the Rfam family "Bacterial small subunit ribosomal RNA", at positions 29 to 334 of the family's 1533-position model. The record is from RNAcentral.
AACGAACGCUGGCGGCACGCUUAAUACAUGCAAGUCGUACGAGAAAGUUCCUUCGGGAGCGAGUAAAGUGGCGCACGGGUGAGUAACACGUGGGCGACCUACCCUGUAGCGGGGGAUAACAGGAAGAAGUUCCUGCUAAUACCGCAUAAGCUAGAUAAAUUUGGAAGUAAUCUAGGAAAGGUGGCCUCUACUUGUAAGCUACCACUAUAGGAUGGGCCUGCGGGCCAUUAGCUUGUUGGUGAGGUAACGGCUCACCAAGGCGACGAUGGCUAGCCGGUCUGAGAGGAUGAUCGGCCACACUGGAACUGAGACACGGUCCAG